Cyprinus carpio carpio is the source of this 1263-nucleotide long non-coding RNA. The record is from Ensembl. Lineage: Eukaryota; Metazoa; Chordata; Actinopteri; Cypriniformes; Cyprinidae.
UAAUUGCUUCAUUCAUACAGUUUUAUUUACUGGAUAACCCAAGUAAGAUGUUAUGCAUUUUUUCACUAAGCACAUCAAAUUUUAUAAUCUGCAGUUGAUAACAGUAAUAAAUAAUUUAGAAAACUAUUUAAAGUCUUUUACUUAAAACACUGAACUCCACUGAUUCCAGCGUAAAACAAGAUUUAUGCACGGCUGAAACAACCAUCAACUCCGGACGAAAGAGGUAACAGAUUCUGUUUGGUACAUUCUCAACAAAUAUAAACACAAUCUGUUUAUAUAACAAAUAUUAUCACACAUUGCUAAGAAUGUUAAGAAAAUUCUAUUCAGAGAACAUAGUUGGUCUUGCAUUUAAGAUUUGAUCAAUUUACCUCUUUGUACAUUUCAAGGAACACUGCUGAAGUUUUUCUCCGUUUCUUUUAUCUUGAGCACAACAGCAGCAUUUCUGCUGCACACUAACAUCUGAUCAUGCACACUGUAGCCUUCUAAGAAGCAUGUCAUUUAGCAGAAGUUUGGAUGGAAUUUGAAAACGCCUUUUAAAAUAAAAGCAAAGUUGUGUAGCUCAGGGACAGCUGCAGUACAGUAGCACUGGUUUCCUAAACACCGAAAUAAAGCAAUAAGAUCAGAAAUGCAAAACACCACAAUACAUUUUGCUCCCUCAAGGCGAUAUUCAAAUAAUAUAUAUAUAUAUAUAUAUUUUGUCUAUGAACACUUCCCUGUGAUCUCCGCCUGCUAUUUAAGACAUCAGUCAUAUCAAAGACACUUUCUUUCUAUCUUUUUCUCUAUACAUGUCACUUUCCUAGUCAUCUACGCAAUAUAUUGAGCUAAAAAGUCAAAGCCUGCUUAUUCUGUUAUCUCCAACUCAAGGCAUUUAACAGCUUCAAAAUGUUGCAAAAUGAACCUGAACAUUGUUAAUCCUGAUUAAGUAUUAAGUAGCAUAUGGGAGUAUUAUGAAAUACAAGUUAUCAAAGACAUAAGAUGACAAUUGUUAGACUAACUGUUAAACCACACUGAACUACUUACAGCUUACAUAAAACGUUCUACUUUGUGCUGGUGUAACAUUCCAGUAACUCGGUCAAAUCAUCUGUUCAAUAGCCUUUGAUCCUCAAAACAUAUUACACUCUCACUCAGGACAUUUUCAUGUUUAUCGAGACUCAUCAGUAACGUUCUCAUGUUGACCUGAACUCACAGGCGAGAAUCAAAUUGAAAAACAAAAAUCGGAAAACUAUGGAAACCCAUUUCUGCCACUAAAUAAAAAAUAAAAAA